This 250-nucleotide ribosomal RNA is filed under the name uncultured Rhizobium sp. Its description in RNAcentral is "partial 16S ribosomal RNA". It matches the Rfam family "Bacterial small subunit ribosomal RNA", at positions 19 to 300 of the family's 1533-position model. The record is from RNAcentral. Lineage: Bacteria; Pseudomonadati; Pseudomonadota; Alphaproteobacteria; Hyphomicrobiales; Rhizobiaceae.
UUGGCUCAGAACGAACGCUGGCGGCAGGCUUAACACAUGCAAGUCGAACGCCCCGCAAGGGGAGUGGCAGACGGGUGAGUAACACGUGGGAACGUACCCUUUUCUACGGAAUAACCCAGGGAAACUUGGACUAAUACCGUAUGUGCCCUUCGGGGGAAAGAUUUAUCGGAAAAGGAUCGGCCCGCGUUGGAUUAGCUAGUUGGUGGGGUAAAGGCCUACCAAGGCGACGAUCCAAGCUGGUCUGAGAGGA